This 3411-nucleotide long non-coding RNA is filed under the name Homo sapiens (human). Its description in RNAcentral is "non-protein coding lnc-SLC25A32-3:16". Lineage: Eukaryota; Metazoa; Chordata; Mammalia; Primates; Hominidae. The record is from RNAcentral.
GAGGGGCUGGAAGAUGGCGGCGGACGCACACCCACCCGACCGCGACAGAGCUUAGGCCCCUAGCCCGCGCCGCCGCCCGCUGCUCGCAGCCACUGUGGGCAGCCCUGCUCUGUCCCGCGUUGCUGGUAGAGCCGCCCCGCGGAGGCGUGGGACCAGGGUGGCGUCCGCAUCCCCUGCCAGCGCGCCUUCGCCCGGGUCCGUCCAGGGAGCACCUGUGCACGGCCAUAUUGGAUUCUGUGCCCCAGUCACUGCCUCAGCGCGGCGGGAAAGGAGAGGAGUUCAACAAUUUUUAUGAAUUUCUAAUCCAACCUCAUCAUCCUAUGGGAAACAGAAGACCACCAAGAACAGCCAGCUGAGACAGAAUUUCACUGUGUUGCCCAAGCCAAUCUUAAACUCCUGGUCUCAAGCGAUCCUCCUGCCUUGGCCUCCCACUGUGCCUGGCCUAUGGACUCUGAAUUUUUUUAAAAGACUGGAAAAAACUUUUAUAAGAGAAUUGGAAAUUUGGACAAUGGAAUCUCAUUCUGUCACCAGGCUGAAGUGCAGUGACGUGAUCUUGGCUCACUGCAACCUCCACCUCCUGGGUUCAAGCGAUUCUCCUGCCUCAGCCUCCUGAGUAGCUGGGAUUACAGGUAUCUUGGCAGUAACCUCCUCCAUAUAUUUCCUUGGCCCUCAGCUUACAUCUAGCAAAAUGACUCUACUGGUUCCAGGCUUCACAUGCAUACAACAUGGUGUUGGAGGAACAGAGAUGUUUUCUCUUCCUGGUGUUUUCCCAGACAUUUCUUAGCUGGCAUUUCAAACAAGGGUCCUGAAAUUCACCCUGGUUGGGUCGUGUUCUCCCCUUCCCAUUCCCCAUCCCCACCCUCAACCGAAAAAUGAUGUAAGCAGGGGAAAUUGAAUGUACCAAUGUUUGUUUUUAAACAAGCCACAGACCCCUCCCCAACUCCCCGACUGAAGCUUGAAGUGGGAUCAGCUUUCCCUAAAGUACUUGAGCUUAUGGUAAAGCAUAUAUGUUAUCCAAGUUAAAGUCUGGACGCUGUUAGUAAUGGGAAGGCAAGUAAUGAAUGUUAGCUAUGGAGCCAACAGACAGUGUCCACUCCAUUGUCUUUAAGGCCCAACUAAAGAUAACCUCUUUACCAAUGUCGGUUUAUUUAUUCAUUUAUUUAUUCAUUGAGAUGGAGUCUCACUCUCUCACCCAAGCUGGAGUGCAGUGGAAUGAUCUCAGCUGACUGCAAUUUCUGCCUCCCAGGUUCAAGCAAUCUCCUGCUUCAGCCUCCCAAGUAGCUGGGAUUACAGGCGCACACCACCAUGCCCGGCUAAUUUUUGUAUUUUUAGUAGAGAUAGGGUUUCACCAUGUUGGCCAAGCUGGUCUCGGACACCUGACCUCAAGUGAUCUGCCUGCCUCGGCCCCCAAAGGUGUGAGCCACUGCACCUGGCUACAAUGUCAGUUUCUAUAAAAACUGCCUUGACUUGUUUUGUUUGCUUGUUUUGUUUGUUUGUGUUUUAAUUUUUAUUAUUUUUUUUUAGAGACAGGGUCUCAAUCUGUUGUCUAGGCUUGAGUGCAGUGGUGCAAUCAUAGCUCACUGAAGUGUUGGACUCCCAGGCUCAAGCAGUCCUCCCACCUCAGCCUCCCAAGUAGCUGAGACUACAGGCAUGCACCACCCUGUCUGGCUAAUUUUUUAUUUUUAGUAGAGAUGAGGUCUCACUAUGUUGCCCAAGGUGGCCUCAAACUCCUGGCCUCAAGUACUCCUGUGGCCUUAGCCUCCCAAAGCUCUGGGAUUGCAGGUAUGAGCCGCCAUGCCUGGCCUACUGUAUAUUUUAUGCAUUUGAUAUAAGUCUUGCCUCCCUAAGUAUAUUACAAGUCCCUUGAAGUUAAAGACAUUAGAUUCCUACUCAGUGCUGAGCUGCAACAGAGAGCACUCAAUGAUGGAUAAAAUAGUUUUAGCAUGCAUUCAGCGAUAUAUAUUUAGAAAGUGGAACUAGGUGGUUGAAAAAAGUGUAUAGAUGGGUGGAAGGGAAUAUUACAGCUCUUAGAAUUGUCCUAAGGUGAGAGUAACAAAUUAAGCAAUGAGUCCCUGGGUUCACUCAAGCAACUUCACUCUCUAAAACAAGAGCCCACAGAAUCCCAUUUCUGCUUUCAGAAUGAGUUUGAGGCCAAUAUUAUUUCCAUUUUUUUUCUUUUUCUUUCUUUCUUUUUUUUUUUUUUUUUUUUGAGACGGAGUUUCACUCUUGUUGCCCAGGCUGUUUUGAUCUCGGCUCACUGCAACCUCUGCCCCUGGGUUCAAGCGAUUCUCCUGUCUCAACCUCCCAAGCUGGGAUUACAAGCAUGCGCUACCACACCUGGCUAAUUUUGUAUUUUUAAUAGAGACGGGGUUUCUCUGUGUUGGUCAGGCUGGUCUCAAACUCCCAACCUCAGGUGAUCUGCCCACCUUGGCCCAGCCUCCAAUAUGAUUUUCUAAUAGCUGUGUUUGAUGAUUAUAUUUAUUCCUCCAUCAGUAGCUUUUUUAGCCUUGAAAAUAUCUAUUUAAGUUUCUUAUUUCCUUUGGAUCUAUCAAAGUGUUUUUCCCCAAGUGGCACCUGGGAAAACAUAUUCUAUUCAUUUAUUUUAUAACUGUUCCCUUGACCUCUUUAUUGCUUCCCUAUUACAACCCAAGAUGCUCUUGUAAACCUGACUUAAUAUUGGCAGUCUUCAUCCCUUGCAAAUGGAAGUGAUGACAGACCCAAUACUUUGUGUAAAAAUAUUUUGCUAUUUCUAUACAAAAUAUUUUAUUAAUGGAAACCACAUGUUAUGUAUUUUACAUAUGUUAUGACUUGAAAUUUAUGUUAUGACUUGAAAUUGGGGAAUCUGAUAUGUCUCUAAUAAUAAAGGCUUCACAGUACAACUGUUGUUUGUAGAUUUACAGAUGGCUGGCAUUUUAAUUUUUUAAUUUAAAUUUUUAAUUCAAAUAUGAUUGACCUGAAAUAUUAACAAAAAUUAUCCUUGAAUUGUUGCACUGCAAAAUAAGAAAGCAAAAUCAGCUAUCUAUGAUGCAACAUUUUAUUUAUAAAUUAAGAUUGUUAGCACUCAUCUAUUGAUUUUUCUCUCUAUUAAACAUACUCCUAAUAAUAAAGGGAAGGAAGGAUCUUUGUAAAGUUAAAUUUACCGUAGCAAAGAAUAGAGGUGAUAAUUAAUAACAUGUUAAAACUCCUUUCUAAAAGCAGAUUCAAUAAACAGUAAGUGUUCAAAUAACUACUACAGUUUAUCUUUCUCAAACCUUGAAAAAGAACAUUCCAAGGUAUUAGUUCUAAUAGUUAUUCUGUCUUUUCCACUGGAUUAUUAUGAACUCCUUAAAAACAUGUGAAAUGUCAGCCGGGCACAGUGGCUAACGCCUGUAAUCCCAGCACUUUGAGAGGCUGAGGCUGGCAGACCCCUUG